UUAUCUAUUACAAAGACAAAGGAUUGACUAUUAUCGCAACGUUAAGCAACUAAUCCAGUCAUAAAUUAGGAAGCUGUUAUCGAAUCAUUACUUAUCAGUGUAGUCUAGCAAUUUCAAAUUGAUAAACUAAAUUACUAAUUCAAAAGGGCUCAUAUUUCGAAUUUCUAAUUAGCUGUUCGUGAGAGGAGGAUAUUAAACGGUACAAUUAUGGUGUACACUAAUAUCGACGGGUCAAAAAUCAUGGGCCCUUAUCACGAAAUCAAGAAGGAUAAGGACAAACGUACAAUGAAUGGAUCCAAGAAACAAACUCAAAAUCAGCAAGAUAUAUAUACGAAAAAUGAUAAAAAGUACGGUGCUUGGGGACCAGUUUACAAAAACAAGGAAAAUUUCGUCAACAUGCAUAUUUGUUAAUCCUUUAUAAUCUAUAUAUAUAUAUAUACAUAUAUAUAAUAUGUAUACAUAUAAAUAUAUAUUUGAUUUUAAUUCAUUUUAUUGUAACAAAAUUAUUAAAAAUUCAAAACUUUUCUAUAUUCCUUAAAUAUACUUAUAAAUUAUACUUAUUGUUAGUAUAAUAUGUUUGUAUUGGAAUAAAUAACAUAAUAAUAUUUACAUUACAUAAAUUCUUUUAAUAAAUACGAAAAAUUAAAUUGA
Vespa crabro (European hornet) is the source of this 651-nucleotide long non-coding RNA. RefSeq lists it as uncharacterized. NCBI's taxonomy places the organism in Eukaryota, Metazoa, Arthropoda, Insecta, Hymenoptera, Vespidae. The record is from RefSeq and is a predicted model, not a curated record. The transcript is spliced from 2 exons.